GGAUUCUGAUCCUGUGGCAACAGGAUACUAUCUGAAGGUCUUCUUCAAUCCUGUUUUCUAUGAUUCUGGGAAGAUCUCCAGCAUAAAUAGAUCAACUGCUGCUUUAGAAAAUAUCUGAGGAACAAGCACAGGGUCUACUACGAUUUGAAGAAUGGAUACUCAGCAAGAAGAGCUAUGUUUCAGAGUUACACUUGCUUCUGUAUCACUCUCCGUAGAGGGUUUCUAGGAAUCAUCUAGUUGUAAGUGUAAAUCUUCCCUGAUGUGGGCUUUCUUCUCCAGCUCAUCUGUUGGAAAAAUGCAGUUGGAGGAGUUCAGCAGGCCCAGGUGUGUUAUUGAUACUAGGCACCUGAUAUUUUACACCUCUAGGAAGACAUAAGAAUACCUGGUAAGUUUCAAGUUGUUUGGUUCACUUUUUAAAUGUUUUGUAUAGGCUGCCAGUUGUAUUAUCUAGAGAAAU
Columba livia (rock pigeon) is the source of this 457-nucleotide long non-coding RNA. RefSeq lists it as uncharacterized. The transcript is spliced from 3 exons. Lineage: Eukaryota; Metazoa; Chordata; Aves; Columbiformes; Columbidae. The record is from RefSeq and is a predicted model, not a curated record.